GACGAACGCUGGCGGCGUGCUUAACACAUGCAAGUCGAGCGGUAAGGCCCUUUCGGGGGUACGACGAGCGGCGAACGGGUGAGUAACACGUGGGUGACCUGCCCUCCAGCUCUGGGAUAAGCUUGGGAAACCGGGGUACGUAAUACUGGAUAUGACUCCAUGACGCAUGUUGUGGGGUGGAAAGCCUUGUGCGGCUGAGGAUGGGCCCGCGGCCUAUCAGCUUGUUGGUGGGGUGAUGGCCUACCAAGGCGACGACGGGUAGCCGGCCUGAGAGGGCGACCGGCCACACUGGGACUGAGACACGGCCCAGACUCCUACGGGAGGGCAGCAGUGGGGAAGUCUUGCGCAAUGGGCGAAAGCCUGACGCAGCGACGCCGCGUGAGGGAUGACGGCCUGGUGUAAC
This 403-nucleotide ribosomal RNA is filed under the name uncultured bacterium. RNAcentral describes it as "bacterial SSU rRNA". It matches the Rfam family "Bacterial small subunit ribosomal RNA", at positions 28 to 429 of the family's 1533-position model. The record is from RNAcentral.